AUUUUCGUUUCCUCUACUUGACUCUAAAUCAAUCCUGUAUAUUCGCAAACUACAAAGAGGCGCAUGCAAAUAGAUACUGUACUGAGGGCAGAUACACGCGCGAGAUCCAGAGGCUUACAUCCCCAGCCGCUUGGCCCACCAGAGACAAGAACAGGAUGAUAAGCAAUGGAAUGGCAUUGAACUCUCCUGCUGAAGGACUUGCAUUUCAAUGUAGAUUCUGAGGCUGGGUGAAAACUUCUCUGUCACCUUUACUACAGCAUUCUCACCCAUUUAUAUUUCUUUCCCCUUCUACAUCUCUAUUACUGUUGCACUAUGUUAUGCAUUACACCAUGG
Molecule: long non-coding RNA, 333 nt
Filed under: Homo sapiens (human)
Lineage: Eukaryota; Metazoa; Chordata; Mammalia; Primates; Hominidae
Description: non-protein coding lnc-GPR63-3:1
Source: RNAcentral